This 406-nucleotide ribosomal RNA is filed under the name uncultured bacterium. Its description in RNAcentral is "bacterial SSU rRNA". It matches the Rfam family "Bacterial small subunit ribosomal RNA", at positions 355 to 776 of the family's 1533-position model. The record is from RNAcentral.
UCGAGAAUCUUCCGCAAUGGACGCAAGUCUGACGGAGCGACGCCGCGUGACUGAUGAAGUCUUUCGGGAUGUAAAGGUCUUUUAUGAAGGAGAAAGUUUUGAUAGUACUUCAUGAAUAAGGGGUUGCUAAACUCGUGCCAGCAGCAGCGGUAAUACGAGUACCCCAAGCGUUAUCCGGAAUUAUUGGGCGUAAAGGGUGUGUAGGCGGUAAUGUUAGUCUCUUGUCAAAGCCUCCGGCUCAACCGGAGAAUUGCGGGGGAAACGGCAUAACUAGAGAGUGUGAGAGGUUUGCGGAACUCAUGGUGUAGGGGUGAAAUCCGUUGAUAUCAUGGGGAACACCAAAAGCGAAGGCAGCAAACUGGCACAUUUCUGACGCUGAAACACGAAAGCGUAGGUAGCGAAUGGG